Molecule: long non-coding RNA, 374 nt
Filed under: Calidris pygmaea (Spoon-billed sandpiper)
Lineage: Eukaryota; Metazoa; Chordata; Aves; Charadriiformes; Scolopacidae
Description: lncRNA (ENSCPGG00000005154.1)
Source: RNAcentral
AGACAACCUGUCCCUAGAUUUGUUGUAUUUUAGGUCCAUGUUAUGGCAAACUAAUGGGCUUAGUCACCUGUUUGAUGGACAUCUCUUUCUUUUCAAAGGAUGGAUCUGCUCUUAAGUAAAGCUUUGCAAAAGCUGUGAAGUGCUGCAUCGAAGCUCUUGAAUUUGGACCAUUUCCAGGCCUGACGUCCAGAAACUCUUCCCUAUGGGUGGUAAAUUUAAAGAGCCCUGGGCUGGCUUAUUCCUAAUCCUGAGAGUCUGCUCGUCCUCCUUCACGUGGGGGACCAUGUACAGCUAGGACCUGUUGACCCAUUAAAAGAGAACUUUAAAGGCUGGAUGCAAAGGAGGAAGCGUAGUAAAGGCAGCAUCUUUCCAGG